UACGUAGGGGGCUAGCGUUAUCCGGAAUUACUGGGCGUAAAGGGCGUGUAGGCGGUUAUUUAAGUCAGGUGUGAAACACCACGGCUCAACCGUGGGGUUGCACUUGAAACUGGAGGACUUGAGUGCAGGAGAGGAGAGCGGAAUUCCCGGUGUAGCGGUGAAAUGCGUAGAUAUCGGGAAGAACACCAGUGGCGAAGGCGGCUCUCUGGCCUGCAACUGACGCUGAGGCGCGAAAGCUAGGGUAGCGAACGGGAUUAGAUACCCCUGUAGUCCCUGAG
Molecule: ribosomal RNA, 278 nt
Filed under: uncultured prokaryote
Description: partial 16S ribosomal RNA
Rfam family: Bacterial small subunit ribosomal RNA
Source: RNAcentral